Molecule: long non-coding RNA, 671 nt
Filed under: Anser brachyrhynchus (Pink-footed goose)
Lineage: Eukaryota; Metazoa; Chordata; Aves; Anseriformes; Anatidae
Description: lncRNA (ENSABRG00000007449.1)
Source: RNAcentral
GGACAAGGGUUUUGCGCAUUCCUCACAGGUGGUGAUAGAAGUGAAGCAGUUUGCAUGUCCAGCCUUAGUCCUCUGCAGUCUUGAUGCUUUCCUGCUAUUCAGAUUCUUGCUGCAGUCACUGUCCCUGUGCCUGUGCCUUCAAAUCUCUUUGUCUUGGCUUCUAGUUUUGACAAGCAGAUAAGGCUUCCAAAGCCUGAAUGAUGACGUUUCCACUUAAUUUACUCGGCUUUCCUGAUCAUCUUUUCAUGCCUGAGAUCAGGUCUAGGCUCCACACAUCUUUCUGAGAUAUGCAAGGCAACUGACUGUGUUGAUGUUGGUCCAUUGGAUGGAUGCUGGAUCUUUACUCUUCUGUUUGUGAAGCUUUAGAAGUGUUGCUCAUAACUGAUUGAUAGAUGAGGCUCUAAAACAGCUAUAAUUAAGGUAGUGUUCAUACUGCCAUAAUUACAGGGUAAAGCAGUUUUAUUUACCAGGAUUACGUAUUAGUUACAGCAAUCCAAGCUACAUUUCGAUUAGUCACAGGAGGACCUGACAGAACAUGGAUGUUAACAUUAAGCAUCCAAUAUGUUAAUUUGUAAACCUGUCAUAUUUGCCAUGGUGGCAGUAAAUGAUGUUAAAUAGCUUUUUCAAUAGAUUAAUUAGUGGUAACCUUUUGGGUUGAUACAUCUGCCACA